UACAGAGGGUGCAAGCGUUAAUCGGAAUUACUGGGCGUAAAGAGUGCGUAGGUGGUUAAUUAAGUUGAGUGUGAAAGCCCAGGGCUUAACCUUGGAACGGCAUUUAAAACUGAUUAGCUAGAGUUCAGGAGAGGGAAGUGGAAUUUCCGGUGUAGCGGUGAAAUGCGUAGAUAUCGGAAGGAACAUCAGUGGCGAAGGCGACUUUCUGGAAUGAUACUGACACUGAGGUACGACAGCGUGGGUAGCGAACAGG
Molecule: ribosomal RNA, 253 nt
Filed under: uncultured bacterium
Lineage: Bacteria
Description: partial 16S ribosomal RNA
Rfam family: Bacterial small subunit ribosomal RNA
Source: RNAcentral